Molecule: ribosomal RNA, 253 nt
Filed under: uncultured bacterium
Lineage: Bacteria
Description: partial 16S ribosomal RNA
Rfam family: Bacterial small subunit ribosomal RNA
Source: RNAcentral
UACAGAGGUGGCAAGCGUUGUUCGGAAUUACUGGGCGUAAAGAGCGCGUAGGCGGAAAUUUAAGCGUGGCCUGAAAGCCCCCGGCUCAACCGGGGAGUGCGGCUGCGAACUGGGUUUCUUGAGGACGAUAGAGGAGAGUGGAAUUCCUGGUGUAGCGGUGAAAUGCGUAGAUAUCAGGAGGAACACCCGAGGCGAAGGCGGCUCUCUGGGUCGUACCUGACGCUGAGGCGCGAAAGCGUGGGGAGCGAACGGG